Molecule: long non-coding RNA, 1811 nt
Organism: Crotalus tigris (Tiger rattlesnake)
Lineage: Eukaryota; Metazoa; Chordata; Lepidosauria; Squamata; Viperidae
Exons: 4
Source: RefSeq, a predicted model, not a curated record
UUUUCCAUUUUGAUCCUGGGUUAUUUGAAACUGAUUUUAAAUUAUUUCCAAGAUCCAAGGAAGGUUCAGUUCUUUUAAGAUCCAUGGAUUUUACUGUUACAAUAUUUUAGUAGCAAUACAAUUUACUUAAAAUGGGGUAAAUCACAGCUACUUUACCUGUUGAAGAAUGCACACAUAAAAUUAAUUAGUUAAAUUGUUAAAACACUAGGCCAAAGCUUAGAUCCAGUGACAGGCAAAGAAAAUCACAUUUUUUUUAUUAUCUUAGUAUGGCAAGGGCGACAAAUGUUGUCUGGCUUUUUUAUUUACAAAAAUAUGAGAAUUAUUUAUAAUUCAUUUUAUGCAUAAAGAAAAUAGUAAUCUAAAUUUGGUUGAUACAUAAUUUUAUACAUAUUGCAAUAAAGCUUAGGUGUCACUCAAUUAAAAACAAAAACAGCAUGGUAAAGCCGGAGUUUUAGGGAGUGAAACCAUUCCAAAAUAGUAGGAGUUAAUAUCGAUACAUGCAUAAAACUAGCAUAAUCCGCUAUGCCCAUAAGAGCUUCUGAAAAUCUUCUCAAUCCUAGACUCUAGUCCUUUCUGUUUAAAUAAUUUAUUUUUGUCAGUCCCAUCUGCUUACAAAGUAAAUUGCACUGCUUUAAACAUAUUGAACCACAUUUUUCAUUUCUUUUAAAUAUGCAAAUAUGCAAACUACAUUUAGAUGAUCUAUAAGAAAAUAUAUUUUAUGUAGUUGUUGUCAUCCCUCCACCCCCUUUCUAUCAAUCCAAUAGUGUUGUUUGAUAUUUUGAAAAUGCUAGGUAUAAUUAUCCAGGAAUGAUUUCUCAGAUUAGAAGUGAAACAGGGCUGGAUAUCCCUAAUAAAUGUGUGCAUGUUUUCUAUUAAACCCAUGAAUUUGUCAGAUAUAGUCCUGUAAAUGUUUCACUAAGGGUUGGCAGCCCAUUAGCCUUGCAUUUAUUUUGUAUUUACUUAUUUUAUUCAGUUUGAUGCUACCUGAGUAACCUGACAAUAAAUAACUCUGGGCAUUUAUAAUCAGCCUGCUGCUUUACUCCCAGCCAUUUCAAGAAUUUUUUUUUUUUUUUUUUAGGUUCUAGAAGAUCACCAUGAAAAUUAGGGAGAUGUUUACCAACAGAGAUAAGAAGCUGCUGCUUCUUCUUCUUUCUUUCUUUUUAAAAAAUGGUUACUUUAGUAAUUGCUUUUGGUGGCAUCCUAAACAGAAGGAUAUUGAAGGGAGCUGAUGCGGCUUUGAUCCUUAGGCUUGUUGUCAAAGCGCUUGGAAAUGAAGAGAGUGUUGGCUACAAUUGACUGACAAUUAGGAGAUGAUCAGAGCUCUAGAGUGGAACACUUAAAGGGUUUGCAUUUAAAGCACUCUGAGAGCACUAAUUGUAUAACAUUUUACAAACUGCACAUUCUCUUUCUGGAGAGGUAAUGAAUGAAUGGAAAAGGCUGGAAUUUAUUUGACAUUCUAGGCAGGAGCUUUUUCUGAGCACUUCUUGCUCUGUGUGAAAUUGGGAUGGAAGGUGUCAAAUCCUGAAGAAAGAGGCAGAUAUAGUGUUAGUGGUUGCUGCUGCCAAUGUAGUUGGUUUCUUCAUCCCACAUGUCCAAAUCGGAGCCAAGAUUUUUUUGAAGAUUUUAGUGCUGAUAGUGGAUUUUAGGCUUGUUGUGUUUGCUGUUUUAUUAUUUUGCAUAAUAUACCUCUUCCAAUAAUUUGAGAUAAAGGGGGAAGAGUUAGAUAAAAUCUUAAUGAGAUAGACUUCUAAUUGUUUUUUUUUUGUACAAUGUAUAAUAUAAUGGAUCUUAUAGAAAAGGGUACAAGACAA